This 1269-nucleotide long non-coding RNA is filed under the name Salmo salar (Atlantic salmon). RNAcentral's name for it is "lncRNA (ENSSSAG00000113105.1)". The record is from RNAcentral. Lineage: Eukaryota; Metazoa; Chordata; Actinopteri; Salmoniformes; Salmonidae.
GUGGUUGUUUAGUUUGUUUAGUUUGAUGGUAGAACCAGGAUGAUGUUCUACAGACAGGUGGUUGUUUAGUUUGAUGGUAGAACCAGGAUGAUGUUCUACAGACAGGUGGUUGUUUAGUUUGUUUAGUUUGAUGGUAGAACCAGGAUGAUGUUCUACAGACAGAUGGUUGUUUAGUUUGAUUGUAGAACCAGGAUGAUGUUCGACAGACAGGUGGUUGUUUAGUUUUAUGGUAGAACCAGGAUGAUGUUCUACAGACAGAUGGUUGUUUAGUUUGUUUAGUUUUAUGGUAGAACCAGGAUGAUGUUCUACAGACAGAUGUUUAGUUUGAUGGUAGAACCAGGAUGAUGUUCUACAGACAGAUGUUUAGUUUGAUGGUAGAACCAGGAUGAUGUUCUACAGACAGGUGGUUGUUUAGUUUUAUGGUAGAACCAGGAUGAUGUUCUACAGACAGAUGGAUGUUUAGUUUGAUGGUAGAACCAGGAUGAUGUUCUACAGACAGAUGGAUGUUUAGUUUGAUGGUAGAACCAGGAUGAUGUUCUACAGACAGGUGGUUGUUUAAUUUGAUGGUAGAACCAGGAUGAUGUUCUACAGACAGAUGGAUGUUUAGUUUGAUGGUAGAACCAGGAUGAUGUUCUACAGACAGGUGGUUGUUUAAUUUGAUGGUAGAACCAGGAGGAUGUUUUGUCUGUCCUUGAUUUCCCCUGCAUCACAUUACCUCUAGCCUACCUAGCAUUACUUCUGAAAACAUAUCUCACUUGUUCUUUGUCUGUGUAACAGCAUCUCUUAAAUCCAACACUUAAAGGUCGAUAUAAUGCCUCCAAUUAUUUAUUUACUCAAGGCAGCAGCAUGAUUAUUCAUUAUUAAGAGGUAGAGGAUGGAGAGAGGAGAACAUUCUCUUAAUUCAAUUCAAUUCAAGUGCUUUAUUGGCAUGGGAAACAUAUGUUAACAUUGCCAAAGCAAGUGAAAUAGAUAAUAAACAAAAGUGAAAUAAACUCUCUCCCUCUGUCUAUCUUUCUUUCUCUCUCUUCUCUCUUUCUUUCUCUUUCUCUCUUUCUCUUCUCUCUUGCUCUCUCUCCAAGACAAGGUCCAAGUCUGCUAUUCAAGGCUAACUUUCUUGUGUUUGUGAACUUGGGUAAUUGGAGAUGAAUCAAAUUGCUAUCGGUCUACUAUACUAAAUCAUUAUAUAUUAUAUUAUUAAAUCAUUGUAUAUUAAAUCAUUAAAUAUCAAUUUCAAAUGUAAACUUUAUUUACCAUAUUAAAAGCAGCCAC